Non-coding RNA from Triticum aestivum (bread wheat), 128 nucleotides. The record is from Rfam. Lineage: Eukaryota; Viridiplantae; Streptophyta; Magnoliopsida; Poales; Poaceae.
UAGCUACUCCCUCCGUUCCGAAUUACUUGUUUGUCUAGAUACAGAUAUAUCUAAACUCAUUUUAGUGCUAGAUACAUCCGUAUCUAGACAAAUCUAAGACAAGUAAUUCGGAACGGAGGGAGUACCUC